This 159-nucleotide non-coding RNA is filed under the name Nanoarchaeota archaeon SCGC AAA011-L22. RNAcentral describes it as "RT-16 RNA". It matches the Rfam family "RT-16 RNA". Rfam says of the family: candidate division DUSEL4 (Archaea). Nearby to self-splicing intron genes Lineage: Archaea; Nanobdellati; Nanobdellota. The record is from Rfam by way of RNAcentral.
UCUUGGUAUUAUUUAACUUGAUUUGUGAUAGUUAGAUAUCUCAGGGCUACACGCCUGUUUAUCAUGGCCAUUUAAUGGUUAUAAAAUACAGCUGUGACACUUAGUAAAUAUUGAACAGAUGAAACAGCAUUGCAAUUAAGGAUAAGCAGGCUAUAUAGC